Molecule: unclassified non-coding RNA, 227 nt
Filed under: Hevea brasiliensis (rubber tree)
Lineage: Eukaryota; Viridiplantae; Streptophyta; Magnoliopsida; Malpighiales; Euphorbiaceae
Source: RNAcentral
CUCCCUGGAAAUGAGGAUUUCUUGGUGAGGAUAUCAAGAAGCCUUGACGGCUCCAAUUGUGCUCUACCCAAAUCAGGGAGAUUGCCUCCAAGGGAUGGUGAGGAAACCUCUCUGAAACUACUCCUAGGCGAUUUUUUCUUGUCAUCAGCUGCAGCCUCUGAAGCCNAGCCUCUUCAUUGAUACAAAGAGUAGAGAGAUCUAUUUUUUCUCCAACAAGAAGACCAGCA